UACGUAGGGUGCAAGCGUUACUCGGAAUUACUGGGCGUAAAGCGUGCGCAGGCGGUUGUGCAAGCCAGAUGUGAAAUCCCCGGGCUUAACCUGGGAACUGCAUUUGUGACUGCACGGCUAGAGUGUGUCAGAGGGGGGUAGAAUUCCACGUGUAGCAGUGAAAUGCGUAGAUAUGUGGAGGAAUACCGAUGGCGAAGGCAGCCCCCUGGGAUAACACUGACGCUCAUGCACGAAAGCGUGGGGAGCAAACAGG
Molecule: ribosomal RNA, 253 nt
Filed under: uncultured bacterium
Lineage: Bacteria
Description: partial 16S ribosomal RNA
Rfam family: Bacterial small subunit ribosomal RNA
Source: RNAcentral